This 595-nucleotide long non-coding RNA is filed under the name Rattus norvegicus (Norway rat). RNAcentral describes it as "long non-coding RNA NONRATT023508". The stretch from base 422 to 525 matches the Rfam family "Small nucleolar RNA SNORD46". Lineage: Eukaryota; Metazoa; Chordata; Mammalia; Rodentia; Muridae. The record is from RNAcentral.
GCGCCGAGCGAUGGGCAUCUCUCGGGACAACUGGCACAAGCGCCGCAAGACCGGGGGUAAGAGAAAACCCUACCACAAGAAGCGGAAGUAUGAGCUGGGACGGCCGGCCGCCAACACUAAGGUGCGUGCGGGUGUUGGGGGGGGGCCUGGGAGAGACCGCCUUUCCCUGCGUUACAGCGUGGUUGCAGUGUACUUGAAUGGCUGUGGUCACCUUCAUGAGGCCCUGAUUCUCAGUACUAGGGACUGGGCAUGUUGUACGUGUCCACGUGCCGAGUAAAGAGUGGGGUCUGCGCGCCCCAAUCACCAAGUUUAGGGUUUAAUGGAUCCUGGGAAUGGGCACAUAAAUACUGCAUGCAAGCUUGGUGUAUUUUUACUGAAAUUGUUCCUGUGCUUGAGUGGUCUGGCUUUUCUCCUUGGAGGUAACUAGGGUGAUGAAAAAGUAUCCUUAGGCGUGGUUCUGGCCGUCUUGGUCACCUGUAUGCCACUUGCCAAUGCAAGGACUUGUCAUAGUUACACUGACUGUUACCUCCGUCUAGUUCGGGUGCCUCUCCCAGUCCCCUCUCUUCUUGAUGACCAUCUUUCUGGUCUCCUUGCG